GAUAAACGCUGGCGGCGCACAUAAGACAUGCAAGUCGAACGAACUCAACCUAUUCUUUAAGUUUAGGAGCGGUUAGUGGCGGACUGGUGAGUAAUGUGUAAGCAACCUGCCUAUCAGAGGGGAACAACAGUUAGAAAUGACUGCUAAUACCGCAUAUGCCAUAACUAUCGCAUGAUAGAAGUGGGAAAGGAGCAAUCCGCUGAUAGAUGGGCUUACAUCUGAUUAGCUAGUUGGUGGGGUAACGGCUCACCAAGGCAACGAUCAGUAGCCGGACUGAGAGGUUGACCGGCCACAUUGGGACUGAGAUACGGCCCAGACUCCUACGGGAGGCAGCAGUGGGGAAUAUUGGGCAAUGGACGCAAGUCUGACCCAGCAACGCCGCGUGAAGGAAGAAGGCCUUCGGGUUGUAAACUUCUUUUAGCAGGGACGAAGGACGUGACGGUACCUGCAGAAAAAGCAACGGCUAACUACGUG
RNAcentral lists this ribosomal RNA (474 nucleotides) under uncultured bacterium. Its description in RNAcentral is "bacterial SSU rRNA". It matches the Rfam family "Bacterial small subunit ribosomal RNA", at positions 28 to 507 of the family's 1533-position model. The record is from RNAcentral.